CCCGGCCCCGGCACGGGCGUCCCCUGCCCUCCCUCCCCAGCCAGCCCCCAAACCGCUGCUAACGCUUCCCCUGCCCACGCCAGGGGUGCAGCCCCCGGUCCCAAAACCCUCCAGCCACAGGCAGCCUGGCUGGCAGCACAUUUUGGGAGGUUUUCUCCUCUUUUGGGGGACAAUUGGCUCCUACUUCACAGCUGGGGGUGCUCCCCAAACAGCCAGGGGAUGCUGGGGUGUGGGAUGUGCUCGGCCCAGGGCGCUGCACCCCUCGGGUGGCAUUGCCAGGGUGGGGGGACGGGGACACCCCGCUCUGCUCUGCUGCUCCCCGCUCUCUGCACGGCACCGCUCCCUGCGCUUCCCGGGCAGGGCGCUCCGCAUCCCGGCGUCAGCAGCCGGCCCCGGCCGAGCUCCCCGGAGCGAUCCCUCCUCCCAAAAUCCAUCACCCGCCUCUCCCUGUCCGCCCCACGGGCCGCUCUCCUCUCCCGGGCCGCCCCGCCAGGACCCGGUGUCACCUUCGGGUGGCUCUGGCGGGCAGGGAUGGGGACACGGAGCGAAACGCUGGACGCAGCCGGGGCUGGACCCUGCGCUGGGGCUGCCACGGGACCCUGGCGCACCAGACGGUCCCCUGGGUGUGGCACAGUGCCCUGGACACCAUCCCGGCCGUGAGGGACCCGCAGCCCCCGCCGUGAGCCCCCCGGAGCGGCGGAGCCCCGCGGGCCGGGGAUGGAGUGUCUUUGCUUUAUGUGUUUAAUCGAAACCAAGGCGAGUAGGGCGGCCCAGGGGGCCCAGCCGUCGGGAGCCGGCACCCUCCACAAAGCGAUUCCUCGGGGAAGCCCGGCGGCCGAGCGGGACCACGGGGCAGCCGGGUCUCGGGCUUUCCCGGCAGCAGGACCACCCUGGAGGAUUUGGCCUCCCUCCUCUGGUCCCUCCGGGGUCGCUCCCCGAGUAAAACCUCUCCCGUGCGGCCCCUUUUUGGCCGCGGAGGGUCCCCGUGCUCCGGACGAGCUCCGUCCCUCGGGCAGCCCGGCCGUCCGGGCGCCCCUUUUUCCCCGGUGACGACGUGACCCCUUCCUCCUCUUCCUCCUCCUCCUCCUCCUUCUCCUCCUCCUCCUCCUCCUCGCGGCCCGGGAAAUCCGCCACGGUGUCGGCAUCCAGGCUCCCUCCGUCCCGCCAGCUCCCCCCGCGGUGCUGGAGCUGCUCUGAGCCCAGAAGCCCCUUCCCAACCCCAAACGGGCCUUGCCGCCUCGCUUCCUCCUCCCUCACACCCAGGAGACGUCAGGUCACAGCCUCCGCUUGGGAGGGGGCCGCGGGGCCGGGGGCCGGGGCAGGACCCCCCCGCCGCUGGCUGUAGGAGGGAUCCCGGCUCCUCCCGGCAUCGCUGUGAGCUCGGGGCGGGACGCUGGGGGCUCCGGUGCCCGCUUGCUGCUGGCUGCCCUCCCCAGGGGGAGCCACGGGGCGUGCAGGGGUCUUUGGGGGGUCAGGGUCCCGGCGGUGGGAGGUAAAUCCGGCCAGCUCGGGGUGAUCCCAAACCCCUCCACUGCCAUUCCCAAACUGGACACCCCUAGGAACCCACCCAAAGCCCAGCCGCAUCCUCCCGCAGCCAGCCUCGUGCUUCCUCCUCCUCCUCUUCCUCCCCGCAGAGCCGCUCGCCCCGGCCCCAGAGGGGCUCCCGGGGGUCCCCUCGCUGCUGCUUCCCCCCGGCUGCCGCUCCGCAUGCGCCCCCGGCCCCGCCGCCCCCCGCCCCCCCAUCGCUCCCCCCCUUCUCUCCCUGUCUCU
Passer domesticus (house sparrow) is the source of this 1770-nucleotide long non-coding RNA. RefSeq lists it as uncharacterized. The record is from RefSeq and is a predicted model, not a curated record. The transcript is spliced from 3 exons. Lineage: Eukaryota; Metazoa; Chordata; Aves; Passeriformes; Passeridae.